UACAGAGGGUGCAAGCGUUGUUCGGAAUUAUUGGGCGUAAAGGGCGCGUAGGCGGUUCGGCAAGUCUCUAGUGAAAUCUCUGGGCUCAACUCAGAGUCUGCUGGGGAAACUGCCGGGCUUGAGUGUGGGAGAGGAGAGUGGAAUUCCCGGUGUAGCGGUGAAAUGCGUAGAUAUCGGGAAGAACACCUGUGGCGAAAGCGGCUCUCUGGACCACAACUGACGCUGAGGCGCGAAAGCUAGGGGAGCAAACAGG
Molecule: ribosomal RNA, 253 nt
Filed under: uncultured bacterium
Lineage: Bacteria
Description: partial 16S ribosomal RNA
Rfam family: Bacterial small subunit ribosomal RNA
Source: RNAcentral